GACGAACGCUGGCGGCGUGCUUAACACAUGCAAGUCGAACGGAAAGGCCCUGCUUUGGUGGGGUGCUCGAGUGGCGAACGGGUGAGUAACACGUGAGUAACCUGCCCUUGACUUUGGGAUAACUUCAGGAAACUGGGGCUAAUACCGGAUAGGAGCUCCUGCUGCAUGGUGGGGGUUGGAAAGUUUCGGCGGUUGGGGAUGGACUCGCGGCUUAUCAGCUUGUUGGUGGGGUAGUGGCUUACCAAGGCUUUGACGGGUAGCCGGCCUGAGAGGGUGACCGGCCACAUUGGGACUGAGCUACGGCCCAGACUCGUACGGGAGGCAGCAGUGGGGAAUAUUGCACAAUGGGCAGAAGCCUGAUGCAGCAACGCCGCGUGCGGGAUGACGGCCUUCGGGUUGUAAACCGCUUUCGCCUGUGACGAAGCGUGAGUGACGGUAAUGGGUAAAGAAGCACCGGCUAACUACGUG
This 468-nucleotide ribosomal RNA is filed under the name uncultured bacterium. Its description in RNAcentral is "partial 16S ribosomal RNA". It matches the Rfam family "Bacterial small subunit ribosomal RNA", at positions 28 to 507 of the family's 1533-position model. The record is from RNAcentral.